GUCCCGGUAGCUCAGUUGGAUAGAGCAGCCGCCUUCUAAGCGGCAGGUCGUGCGUUCGAGUCGCACCCGGGGCG
This 74-nucleotide transfer RNA is filed under the name Phycisphaerae bacterium. RNAcentral's name for it is "tRNA-Arg". It matches the Rfam family "tRNA". From Rfam's summary of the family: Transfer RNA (tRNA) molecules are approximately 80 nucleotides in length. Their secondary structure includes four short double-helical elements and three loops (D, anti-codon, and T loops). Further hydrogen bonds mediate the characteristic L-shaped molecular structure. tRNAs have two regions of fundamental functional importance: the anti-codon, which is responsible for specific mRNA codon recognition, and the 3' end, to which the tRNAs corresponding amino acid is attached (by aminoacyl-tRNA synthetases). tRNAs cope with the degeneracy of the genetic code in two manners: having more than one tRNA (with a specific anti-codon) for a particular amino acid; and 'wobble' base-pairing, i.e. permitting non-standard base-pairing at the 3rd anti-codon position. Lineage: Bacteria; Pseudomonadati; Planctomycetota; Phycisphaerae. The record is from RNAcentral.